RNAcentral lists this ribosomal RNA (1350 nucleotides) under metagenome. Its description in RNAcentral is "SSU rRNA". It matches the Rfam family "Eukaryotic small subunit ribosomal RNA", at positions 1 to 1367 of the family's 1831-position model. The record is from RNAcentral.
ACUGGUUGAUCCUGCCAGUAGUCAUAUGCUUGUCUUAAAGAUUAAGCCAUGCAGGUGUAAGAUCAUAUCUAUGAAUGGUGAAUCCGCGAAUGGCUCAUUAAAUCAGUUAUAAUUUAAUAGGAUGUGAUUCGUUAAUUGGAUAACUGUGGUAAUUCUAGAGCUAAUACAUGCAUAUACGGCUGAACUUUGUUUGGCUGUGCUUUUAUUAGUGCAAACCAGGCCUUCGGGCUGCAAAAUGGUGACUCUGAAUAACUUUGCUGAGCAUUUGGACCUUGUGUCAGUGCUAUUCCUUUAAAGUAUCUGCUCUAUCAACUGUCGAUGGUAUAUUAUAUGUUUACCAUGGUUGUAACGGGUAACGGGGAAUUAGGGUUCGAUUCCGGAGAGGGAGCCUGAGAAACGGCUACCACAUCUAAGGAAGGCAGCAGGCGCGCAAAUUACCCAAUCCCGGCUCGGGGAGGUAGUGACAAAAAAUAACAAUGCGGGACUCUUAUGAGGCUUCGUAAUUGGAAUGAGUACAUUCUAAAUCCUUUAACGAGGAACUAUUGGAGGGCAAGUCUGGUGCCAGCAGCCGCGGUAAUUCCAGCUCCAAUAGCGUAUAUUAAAGUUGUUGCGUCUAAAAAGCUCGUAGUUUUAAAACUUGCCUUGGCUUACAACAGACGUCUAAGGGCGUCACCGUUUGUCGAGAGCAAAUAUGGGUGACUGUUCUUGCCUUCUUCACUGAUUGGCUCGUAAAAGUCAUCGAAGAUCACUUUGAUUAAAUUAGGGUGCUCAAAGCAAGUGUGCUACUUGAAUAUGAAUGCAUGGAAUGAUGGAAUAUGUUGUUGUUCUAUUUGUUGGUUUUUUGAAUGACGAAAUGAUUGAAAGGAACUGUUGGGGGCAUUCGUAUUGUUGUGAGAGAGGUGAAAUUCUUAGACCAUAGCAAGACGAACUACUGCGAAAGCAUUUGCCAAGAAUGUUUUCAUUGAUCAAGAACGAAAGUUAGAGGUUCGAAGGCGAUCAGAUACCGCCCUAGUUCUAACCAUAAACUAUGCCGACUAGCAAUUUGCUUUGUAUUUUUAUGACUAAGUGAGAGGCCACGGGAAACCAAAGUAGGGUUAUGGGGGAAGUAUGGUUGCAAAGCUGAAACUUAAAGGAAUUGACGGAAGGGCACCAUCAGGAGUGGAGCCUGCGGCUUAAUUUGACUCAACACGGGAAAACUUACCUGGUCCUGACACUAGAAGGAUUGACAGAUUGAUAGCUCUUUCUUGAUUUGGUGGAUGGUGGUGCAUGGCCGUUCUUAGUUGGUGGAGUGAUUUGUCUGGUUAAUUCCGAUAACGAACGAGACUCUAGCCUAUUAAAUAAUAUGCGGAA